CCUACGGGAGGCAGCAGUGAGGAAUAUUGGUCAAUGGCCGGAAGGCUGAACCAGCCAUGCCGCGUGAAGGUCAGUGCCCUAUGGGCGUUAAACUUCUUUUGUGCGGGAGCAAUAAUGGUCACGUGUGGCCAGACGAGAGUACCGUACGAAUAAGCAUCGGCUAACUCCGUGCCAGCAGCCGCGGUAAUACGGGGGAUGCAAGCGUUAGACGGAUAGAGUGGGUUGAAGGGGGGGGUAGGCUGUGAGGUAAGGCAGCGGUGAAAUGCCCCCGCUCAACGGGGUGAAGUGCCAUUGAUACUGCCUUGCUGGAAUGCGGAUGCCGUGGGAGGAAU
This 332-nucleotide ribosomal RNA is filed under the name uncultured bacterium. RNAcentral describes it as "partial 16S ribosomal RNA". It matches the Rfam family "Bacterial small subunit ribosomal RNA", at positions 338 to 667 of the family's 1533-position model. The record is from RNAcentral.